UACGUAGGGGGCGAGCGUUGUCCGGAUUGACUGGGCGUAAAGCGCGCGCAGGCGGCCUGACGCGCCGGCCGUGAAAGCCCCCGGCUCAACCGGGGCGGGUCGGUCGGGACGGUCAGGCUGGAGGGUGUCAGAGGGGGGUGGAAUGCCGCGUGGAGCAGUGAAAUGCGUAGAGAUGCGGCGGAACACCGGCGGCGAAGGCGGCCCCCUGGGGCACAUCUGACGCUGAGGCGCGAAGGCCGGGGGAGCGAACGGGAUUAGAUACCCCGGUAGUCCCGGCAGUAAACGAUGGAUGCUGGCUGUUGGCGGUUUGACCCCGUCAGUGGCUGAGCUAACGCGCAAGCAUCCCGCCUGGGGAGUACGGCCGCAAGGCUAAA
RNAcentral lists this ribosomal RNA (374 nucleotides) under uncultured bacterium. RNAcentral describes it as "bacterial SSU rRNA". It matches the Rfam family "Bacterial small subunit ribosomal RNA", at positions 524 to 898 of the family's 1533-position model. The record is from RNAcentral.